UUGUAUUCUUUUGGCCUCCACUGUUCUAAUUGUGGGGUCUUUCACAAUAAUGCAUAAAAUGAAAGCCAUUCAGUCGGCAAUGGUCAGACAACCACAGGGAUGGAUCCACAAAUGACUGACUACAGUUUUUUCAGUUUGUCCACUGAUACCAACUCACAUAC
Molecule: small nucleolar RNA, 161 nt
Organism: Musa acuminata AAA Group (dessert banana)
Lineage: Eukaryota; Viridiplantae; Streptophyta; Magnoliopsida; Zingiberales; Musaceae
Product: small nucleolar RNA snoR143
Exons: 1
Source: RefSeq, a predicted model, not a curated record